UACGGGAGUGGCAAGCGUUAUCCGGAAUUAUUGGGUGCAAAGCGUCCGCAGGCGGCCUCGUAAGUCUGUCGUUAAAGCGUGGAGCUUAACUCCAUUUCGGCGAUGGAAACUGUGAGGCUUGAGUGUGGUAGGGGCAGAGGGAAUUCCCGGUGUAGCGGUGAAAUGCGUAGAUAUCGAGAAGAACACCAGUGGCGAAGGCGCUCUGCUGGGCCAUAACUGACGCUCAUGGACGAAAGCCAGGGGAGCGAAAGGG
Molecule: unclassified non-coding RNA, 253 nt
Filed under: uncultured cyanobacterium
Lineage: Bacteria; Bacillati; Cyanobacteriota
Description: contains 16S-23S intergenic spacer region
Rfam family: Bacterial small subunit ribosomal RNA
Source: RNAcentral